UUUUAAGUGUUCACAUUGAGAUUUCGUAAAUGUCCCGGAGGGGUGAAAAUUUUGAAAAGUUCCAGGAGUUCUGAUAUGAGUUCUGGGUACCACCUCACGAGUUCUAACGAAAAUGAUUAAGGCUCGAUGCCGUAAAACUAGUAUUUAAGAGAUUGUGCGCGAUUUUAAGUGUUCACAUUGAGAUUUCGUAAAUGUCCCGGAGGGGUGAAAAUUUUGAAAAGUUCCA
Onthophagus taurus is the source of this 226-nucleotide non-coding RNA. Lineage: Eukaryota; Metazoa; Arthropoda; Insecta; Coleoptera; Scarabaeidae. The record is from RefSeq and is a predicted model, not a curated record.